UUGGCGGGAUGAAUGUCGCUCGUGUCAAUAUGUGUCACGGGACGCAUGAUUGGCACCGGAGCGUUAUCCGGCAGGUCCGCCGGCUUAAUGAGGAGAAGGGGUUUGCUGUGGCUGUCAUGAUGGAUACUGAGGGGAGUGAGAUCCACAUGGGUGAUUUUGAUGGUGCCGCCUCCGUCAAGGCCGAGGAUGGUGAGAUCUGGACAUUUACUGUCAGGGCUUUGAAGUCACCCCUUCCUGCCUGUACCAUUAACGUGAACUAUGAUGGCUUUGCUGAAGAUGUUAAGGUUGGCGAUGAACUGCUUGUGGAUGGUGGAAUGGUCCGGUUUGAGGUGGUUGAGAAGAUAGGCCCAGAUGUGAAGUGUCGGUGUACUGAUCCUGGGCUAUUGUUACCCCGAGCUAACUUGACUUUUUGGCGUGAUGGUAGUUUAGUUCGAGAGCGUAACGCGAUGCUUCCUACGAUAUCUUCAAAGGAUUGGCUGGACAUCGAUUUUGGGAUUGCUGAGGGUGUAGAUUUUAUUGCUGUUUCAUUUGUCAAAUCUGCCGAAGUCAUUAAUCAUCUCAAGAGCUACAUAGCUGCGCGGUGUCCAGAAAGAACUAUAUCGGUGAUUGCAAA
RNAcentral lists this unclassified non-coding RNA (613 nucleotides) under Hevea brasiliensis (rubber tree). The record is from RNAcentral. Lineage: Eukaryota; Viridiplantae; Streptophyta; Magnoliopsida; Malpighiales; Euphorbiaceae.